AGCAGCGUGGCUCAGUGGAAAGAGCAUGGGCUUUGGAGUCAGAGGUCAUGGGUUCAAAUCCCAGCUCGGCCA
Ornithorhynchus anatinus (platypus) is the source of this 72-nucleotide non-coding RNA. The record is from Rfam. Lineage: Eukaryota; Metazoa; Chordata; Mammalia; Monotremata; Ornithorhynchidae.